CCUACGGGCGGCUGCAGUGGGGAAUAUUGGACAAUGGGGGCAACCCUGAUCCAGCCAUGCCGCGUGUGUGAAGAAGGCCCUCGGGUUGUAAAGCACUUUCAGUGAGGAAGAACGCCUGGUGGUUAAUACCCAUCAGGAAAGACAUCACUCACAGAAGAAGCACCGGCUAACUCCGUGCCAGCAGCCGCGGUAAUACGGAGGGUGCGGGCGUUAAUCGGAAUUACUGGGCGUAAAGCGCGCGUAGGUGGCUUGAUAAGCCGGUUGUGAAAGCCCCGGGCUCAACCUGGGAACGGCAUCCGGAACUGUCAAGCUAGAGUGCAGGAGAGGAAGGUAGAAUUCCCGGUGUAGCGGUGAAAUGCGUAGAGAUCGGGAGGAAUACCAGUGGCGAAGGCGGCCUUCUGGACUGACACUGACACUGAGGUGCGAAAGCGUGGGUAGCAAACAGGAUUAGAUACCCGGGUAGUC
Molecule: ribosomal RNA, 465 nt
Filed under: Vreelandella stevensii
Lineage: Bacteria; Pseudomonadati; Pseudomonadota; Gammaproteobacteria; Oceanospirillales; Halomonadaceae
Description: partial 16S ribosomal RNA
Rfam family: Bacterial small subunit ribosomal RNA
Source: RNAcentral